This 450-nucleotide ribosomal RNA is filed under the name uncultured bacterium. RNAcentral's name for it is "partial 16S ribosomal RNA". It matches the Rfam family "Bacterial small subunit ribosomal RNA", at positions 354 to 796 of the family's 1533-position model. The record is from RNAcentral.
GUGGGGAAUAUUGGACAAUGGGCGAAAGCCUGAUCCAGCCAUGCCGCGUGUGUGAAGAAGGUCUUCGGAUUGUAAAGCACUUUAAGUUGGGAGGAAGGGCAUUAACCUAAUACGUUAGUGUUUUGACGUUACCGACAGAAUAAGCACCGGCUAACUUCGUGCCAGCAGCCGCGGUAAUACGAAGGGUGCAAGCGUUAAUCGGAAUUACUGGGCGUAAAGCGCGCGUAGGUGGUUUUGUAAGUUGGAGGUGAAAUCCCCGGGCUCAACCUGGGAACUGCCUCCAAAACUGCAUGACUAGAGUACGGUAGAGGGUAGUGGAAUUUCCUGUGUAGCGGUGAAAUGCGUAGAUAUAGGAAGGAACACCAGUGGCGAAGGCGACUACCUGGACUGAUACUGACACUGAGGUGCGAAAGCGUGGGGAGCAAACAGGAUUAGAUACCCCAGUAGUCC